Long non-coding RNA from Magallana angulata, 1252 nucleotides. RefSeq lists it as uncharacterized. Lineage: Eukaryota; Metazoa; Mollusca; Bivalvia; Ostreida; Ostreidae. The record is from RefSeq and is a predicted model, not a curated record. The transcript is spliced from 4 exons.
CAUGCUAACAUUUGUUACUGUCUUAUAUUGUUUUAUUCAUAUUUUUUUAAUUCUAAGUAAGAAUAUUCCACAAUGAGUCAGCAUUCUCAAUGUAAGCAAUGCUUAAAAAUCUUUUAUCCUGUUUAAAAGGGAAUUAAAAAAGUUAGGAAUGUAGUUCGAUUUUUAAUAUAUCUUAGCAAGUAAAAUAAUGCAAGAUCGGUAUAAUUAAGCAAUUCGUAGUUUAGUCAAAAUCCUAAGCUAGCAACCUGGAUCAUAGCAACACAAAACGUAUAUAUCAUUCUCUGUUACUGGAAGGUAGAACUUAUGUUGUUUUCACUAUAAUUUAAGUACAUUUUAGGGAACAUUCUCAAGUUUAGUAUUUGACAUCAGACAUUAAUUACUGGAGAAGACAGGAAAGCAAUUAAACAUAGAAAUAAACCAUAUAUUGAAGGAGCAUAAAUAAGUUUCUCUACCUAUCAAGCCAGAAACAUUCUGCAAUGCUACAAGAACACGUUAUGAGGCCAAACAGCUAUAUAAUGGGUCAUCCAUUGAUGGCAAGUCUAUUCCAAGUGCCUUUUCAAUGAAAACACACAGGUACAGAUCCAAAAUCUGCAUCAGCGAGAGGGAAACAUGAACACUUCAUCUGAAUCUUAUCAACUUGGACACACAAAGGGAGAGAAUAGAAAUGUUUCCUUUAAGAAACUGUCAACCAGAAUGAAAUUGACUAAACAUUGUAGACGUUGCUACGGUAAAAAGGUAAUGGUAACAAUUAUACUUUUGAUAUUAUCAUUUAUUAAAUAUUAAAUGAAAUCUUCUUAACAUGUAAAUCACGAUGCAUAUUAUCACAAAAUGUCAUUCGUCGUGUGCAAUAAUACCGAAAAAAAAACGUUGGUAUAAAAACUUUCCUCUAGUCCCAAAAGCUGUUUUUGAUCAAGCUGCAAAAAAAUAGCGACUAGUAUCACAGAUUUUGUGACAUUUGCACAUAUCUUUAUUUUUUAGUUCAUUUAUCAAUUUGAUGACAUUUUGAUUAUUUUUUCGACUUAAAAGGAUGUCUUAAAAAUACAAUUUCAUGGAUGAACUAUUCAACUGGUAUCAUAUUCAUUAAAUACUGGUUUUUUAAAUUAUCACUUAGAUAUUUUAAAGAAAAGUCUUUUCGGUGUGUUUGAAUUUUUUCAAAUUAUGUUUAUUUAGCACUUAUUAGUCAGAACAUGGGUCAAACUUUUUACAACUUACUUACAACUGUAACUUUAUUCCUAAAGAAUUAUUUAAACUU